UACGUAGGGUGCAAGCGUUAAUCGGAAUUACUGGGCGUAAAGCGUGCGCAGGCGGUUAUGUAAGACAGGUGUGAAAUCCCCGGGCUUAACCUGGGAACUGCAUUUGUGACUGCAUAGCUAGAGUACGGUAGAGGGGGAUGGAAUUCCGCGUGUAGCAGUGAAAUGCGUAGAUAUGCGGAGGAACACCGAUGGCGAAGGCAAUCCCCUGGACCUGUACUGACGCUCAUGCACGAAAGCGCGGGGAGCAAACAGG
RNAcentral lists this ribosomal RNA (253 nucleotides) under uncultured bacterium. RNAcentral describes it as "partial 16S ribosomal RNA". It matches the Rfam family "Bacterial small subunit ribosomal RNA", at positions 524 to 776 of the family's 1533-position model. The record is from RNAcentral.